AUACAUGCAAGUCGAACGAUGAAGCUUCUAGCUUGCUAGAAGUGGAUUAGUGGCGCACGGGUGAGUAAGGUAUAGUUAAUCUGCCCUACACAAGAGGACAACAGUUGGAAACGACUGCUAAUACUCUAUACUCCUGCUUAACACAAGUUGAGUAGGGAAAGUUUUUCGGUGUAGGAUGAGACUAUAUAGUAUCAGCUAGUUGGUAAGGUAAUGGCUUACCAAGGCUAUGACGCUUAACUGGUCUGAGAGGAUGAUCAGUCACACUGGAACUGAGACACGGUCCAGACUCCUACGGGAGGCAGCAGUAGGGAAUAUUGCGCAAUGGGGGAAACCCUGACGCAGCAACGCCGCGUGGAGGAUGACACUUUUCGGAGCGUAAACUCCUUUUCUUAGGGAAGAAUUCUGACGGUA
This 411-nucleotide ribosomal RNA is filed under the name Salmonella enterica subsp. enterica serovar Infantis. Its description in RNAcentral is "bacterial SSU rRNA". It matches the Rfam family "Bacterial small subunit ribosomal RNA", at positions 51 to 477 of the family's 1533-position model. Lineage: Bacteria; Pseudomonadati; Pseudomonadota; Gammaproteobacteria; Enterobacterales; Enterobacteriaceae. The record is from RNAcentral.